UAGAAGAAGAAGAUAUUAAAAUGAACUGAAAUUUCUGUUGAGUCGAAACGAGAAUGAUUGUCCCACAGAUAAAUCAUUCAGCAAAUAGCAAUAAACAGAGCAUCAUUCUUUUUGAACCAAGCAAAGAAGAAAAAUGUGUACCACAAAUAUCAAAAUUGAGCUUUCCAUGAUUUCUGCCAACGUUUUCUUGCUUCUUUUCCCUUGGGACUUCUCUACCGACAUAUUGCAUUCUUUCUUUAAUAGCGGACCACAAAGGUUGGGAUUGCCCAGAUACCUGGAAUCAUCAAAUGUGCCGAAUUGUGCCACUAGUGGUGUUGGCCCAGUCAGAUUAUUGAAAGAAACAUUAAAAACUUCAAGAAUGUGCAAAUCUGUGAGCUUGCUAGGUAUGUUACCAAAGAACGCAUUAUGGGAAAGAUCUAAGCUCUCCAGACUUUCUAAUUUACCCAGAGAUGCCGGAAUUUGUCCAGUGAGCAGGUUAUUAGACAUGUUUAAGAGUAUGAUCAUUUUCAACUCCGCUACUUGUAUGGGAAUUGUUCCUGUCAAUUUGUUCCUAGAAAAGUCUAUUGCAUGCAAGAAGUUGAGCAUCGAUCCCCUAAAGCAGUAUAAUGAACCUUUCGUCGUCAAAUCAACGCAAGAUGAAGAACCUCUUAGAUUGAAAUCAGUGCUAGAAGAUACUUCUGUCAAAGAAGUAAUGUUGUCGAGGCAAGUAGGAAUCUCACCUGAGAGAUCAUUUUCUGAAAGAUCUAAAACACGCAAAUGUUUCAUUUGGCACAACUGGAGGGGAAUGCUCCCUUUCAAACGGUUCCUUCCAAGAAUAAGCCAUCUUAAUUGAGCAAGAACCGGAAAGCUUAUCGAAAGAUCACCUGACAAAUCAUUAUGGUAAAUGUCAAGAAUUCGCAAGGAAGAAAAUUUUGAUGCGCCGUCUGGAAAUAAUCCCGUGAAGCCAUUUCUGUCGAGAUAUAGCCAUUUCAAGUUAGGCAUACUGGAAUUCCUAGGAAACGCUUCCCCUUGCAAGUUGUUCCUGGAUAAACUCAAAUAUUCCAGAUAUGUCGAAUUGCUCAUUAUUUCAUGGGGUAUCCCUCCUUGAAAAUUAUUAUUUGACAAGUCCAGAUAUUGAAGUUGACUCAAUUCACCAAUAGAUUGGAUGGUGCCAUCGAACAUAUUGUGGGAGACAUUUAGGCGUGCAAGCUGGGGAAAAUAAGAUCUGAUAUCUGCAGGAAAUAGCCCAAAUAGAUUAUUGUCAGAGAUGUCUAGCGUAGCUAACUGCGAGCUCAUGUUUCUUCCCAUUUUGGGAAAUGGACCGCUCAAAUUGUUGCCUCUUAUCCACAAUUCUGAAGAAAUAUUGUAGGGCAGCCACGAAGGAAAGCUCCCAAAAAGUGAAUUAUAAGACAAGUCUAGGGAUUGCAAAUGGUUCUGCAUGGAUAAGAAGCUGGGAAUAUUUCUACCACUUCGCCUAUUGAGGUUACACCCGCCUAGUCCAAGCUGAUUUAGGCUGAAAGAUGGAGACCACGAUGGAGACUCUGUUUCAAUUUCUAAAUCAGGAUUAUAUGAAAUGUCAAGAUAACUGAGUUUCGAUAGAUUGGCAAAAAUAGAAAAUGAAAUCACAUCUUUGAACCGAUUAUUCGAGAUGUCCAAAGAUUCGAUAUUUGUCAGGUUGUGAAACAGUAACGAAGGAAAUGUUCCAUAGAAGCUGUUAUGAGACAGAACUAGUUGUUUUAGAGAAGUCAUAUUACUGAGGCACCCAUCGAUGUUUCCUUCCAGUUCGUUGUCAGAAAGAAUUAGCUCAGUCAUAGACUGACUGUCACAAAGGCACUGUGGAAUAUAACCUUGUAGUUUAUUUCUUGACAGAUUGACGUAGUGAAGAGUAGGUAUAUUUCCCCAGCAGAGAGAACUGUUAUCAAUCACAUUGUCAUGGAGAUCCAACUUUUGCAGGUGCUUGAGUUUGUACAGUGCAUUAGAUGAUAUGAAUCCGCCAAUUCGAUUCCCUGGGAGAUAGAGUUCUUGCAAGUCUUUGAACUGAGUGAAUAAGGUUGCAUUUGGAUACCAUGCUUCAGACUUUAAUUCCUGUGCCGUCCUGAGAUACUGGAAAGUGAUCCGGAUGACACGAGAAUUUGAUUCAUCGCAUUCUACACCCUCCCACUGGCAACAGUCUUGUCCAUACCAGCUCGAGAAAGCAGUUCCCACUGGGCUGUUUAUUGAGUUUUUUAUUUGGAAGAGAGCAUCUCUUUCUUCUUCAUUGCACCCUUCACAGUUGAGAAAUAACAGAAAAGCCGGCAAAGCUAAGUAGAGAAUUACGAUCCUCAUGGUUGGAUUCUUGUCUGCCAAUGACUUAAUUUUCUGCACAAUAACUGGAAAUCCAAGGCUUUUUAUUGCAGCACAAAUAUUUCGGGUAAUCUUCCUCGAAAAAACAUGGAUUGUU
RNAcentral lists this unclassified non-coding RNA (2419 nucleotides) under Hevea brasiliensis (rubber tree). The record is from RNAcentral. Lineage: Eukaryota; Viridiplantae; Streptophyta; Magnoliopsida; Malpighiales; Euphorbiaceae.